This 301-nucleotide ribosomal RNA is filed under the name uncultured bacterium. RNAcentral's name for it is "partial 16S ribosomal RNA". It matches the Rfam family "Bacterial small subunit ribosomal RNA", at positions 509 to 807 of the family's 1533-position model. The record is from RNAcentral.
CAGUCGCCGCGGGAAUACAGAGGGUGCGAGCGUUAAUCGGAUUUACUGGGCGUAAAGCGUGCGUAGGCGGCUUCUUAAGUCGGAUGUGAAAUCCCUGAACUUAACUUAGGAAUUGCAUUCGAUACUGGGAAGCUAGAGUAUGGGAGAGGAUGGUAGAAUUCCAGGUGUAGCGGUGAAAUGCGUAGAGAUCUGGAGGAAUACCGAUGGCGAAGGCAGCCAUCUGGCCUAAUACUGACGCUGAGGUACGAAAGCAUGGGGAGCAAACAGGAUUAGAUACCCCCGUAGUCCCUGUCUCUUAUAC